UGCUGUGGGAAAAAUCCAGAAUUGGGAUCAGUGUUAGAAUCGGGCCCCUACUCCUCUCUACCCCCAGAAACUGUCUACUCCCCUCACUGCUUUCCCCCUCACAACCCACACCCUGUCUCCCAGUUUACAGGAAUGGGCUGGGAGCUGGAGCCUUCCCAGGCCAGGGGACCCAGCCAGCCCUGGGAAGGGGCAUGAGCCCUUCAAAGCUAGGAUACACGCCAGGGCCAGGGCUGCAGCUCCCAGCAG
Callorhinus ursinus (northern fur seal) is the source of this 246-nucleotide non-coding RNA. NCBI's taxonomy places the organism in Eukaryota, Metazoa, Chordata, Mammalia, Carnivora, Otariidae. The record is from RefSeq and is a predicted model, not a curated record.